This 253-nucleotide ribosomal RNA is filed under the name uncultured bacterium. RNAcentral's name for it is "partial 16S ribosomal RNA". It matches the Rfam family "Bacterial small subunit ribosomal RNA", at positions 524 to 776 of the family's 1533-position model. The record is from RNAcentral.
UACGAAGGGGGCUAGCGUUGUUCGGAAUUACUGGGCGUAAAGCGCACGUAGGCGGAUAUUUAAGUCAGGGGUGAAAUCCCAGAGCUCAACUCUGGAACUGCCUUUGAUACUGGGUAUCUUGAGUAUGGAAGAGGUAAGUGGAAUUGCGAGUGUAGAGGUGAAAUUCGUAGAUAUUCGCAGGAACACCAGUGGCGAAGGCGACUGACUGGACAAGUAUUGACGCUGAGGUGCGAAAGCGUGGGGAGCAAACAGG